Long non-coding RNA from Oncorhynchus tshawytscha (Chinook salmon), 405 nucleotides. The record is from Ensembl. Lineage: Eukaryota; Metazoa; Chordata; Actinopteri; Salmoniformes; Salmonidae.
CACAGAUGACAUUAAACUUGUGUUUACGCGGCUGGAGGAAGGAGACGCUUUCAAAAAUGUUGAUGAGUUUCUGACGCAACUGACCGCAAAGGAAGAGAUUCCUGACAUCCAUCCAGCCGUGAGAGAUGUGAUGAUGAAUCAGACGUUCAACAUCAUCAGCCUUCAAUUCCCAGAGUUCGAAACGCUGGACUGGAUUGCAUGGUUCGAAGUAAAGCUGAUUCCCAUCCUCCCCAGUUUUAAUGAAGUCAUGCUCACCAUUGCUACCUCAAACGUCAACUGCACCAACUACCAAGUCAUUGUAAAUGGAAUGGACAGAGCUUUCCCUGAAAUGACUCAGGAUAGAAGAGAAGGAAUCGCAAGAGUCCUGCUGAAAUACCUGAGGAAAUCUGUGCACCUCAUCAAUGG